GACGUAGGGCGCAAGCGUUGUCCGGAUUUAUUGGGCGUAAAGAGCUCGUAGGCGGCUUGUUGCGUCGACCGUGAAAACCCACAGCUCAACUGUGGGCUUGCGGUUGAUACGGGCGGGCUGGAGUUCGGUAGGGGAGACUGGAAUUCCUGGUGUAGCGGUGAAAUGCGCAGAUAUCGGGAGGAACACCAGUGGCGAAAGCGGCUACCUGGCCCAUUCUUGACGCUGAGGCGCGAAAGCUAGGGGAGCAAACGGG
Molecule: ribosomal RNA, 253 nt
Filed under: uncultured bacterium
Lineage: Bacteria
Description: partial 16S ribosomal RNA
Rfam family: Bacterial small subunit ribosomal RNA
Source: RNAcentral